CUGUGAUGCAAAUUCCUUGCCAAACUUCAUGAUGAACAGUUAGUAGAGGUAAAGCCUCUCAAAACUGCCCUUGAGAUUGUGACAAGAUGAGUUAGUUAAUUUUAACUGCUUAUAUAGACUGAAAAGAUAGAGACGGGGAAGGAAUUAAGUCAAAUGGGGGGUAAUGUUUUCUCGUGUUGGGUAUGGAGAAAGAUUUGAGCUUUUCAGUUGAGAGAAUGAGGAGAAGACAUGGGAAUUGGUUGGGUGGAUUAAAUGCUUACAAUAAGGGAGAUGGAUUUUAAAAUAAUUUGCAGAGAAAGAGAGAGAUUUGUCCAGGCUAUUUGAAGCAGUUGCAGCUGACUGGAUUUUUCUUUGGGCUAUUUUCUCAGAUGUUUCUUCUGUGAACUCCAAUGCAGCAGGAGCAGCUGCAGCAAGUUGAUGAUCUGAGUGUUCGUUUCUGGUGGCUGCUUUAGCUUUUUAACAAUGGUGGGGUGGUGACAGAGAGUAAAGUAAAGGGAAAUAAGGACGUGAGGGCCAGUUGUGAACAGGGGUUGGUUUGGUUUGGUUGGUACAAUCAACUAAUCAAGAUAUGAAAAUUGAAAGCGUGUCUAUAUUAUUGGAUUUGUUUCUUUUUGUGGGAAAUUGAAUUGAUGCAGGCGAUGUUUAAUGCAGGAACCACGACCGAUAGAUAUGGUGGGAAAGGAAAGUUCGCAAUCGAUGCCAGUUAUUACGGAGGCCAAGUUUGAAAUUCCUUCGUUGCCUUUUUUUUCAUUUCGAGCCUUCUUCUGGAAUUUGGGUGAGUCUGUGGUCUAUGUGUUGUUGAGAGGUCAGCACUCUCAUGACUCUCCGACGGUUCUAUAACGAUUUUGUUUUAAUAAUUUGAGUUGUUUCGAAAGAGGGUUUUGCAAGACUUUUGAAAAAGUUGGAAAUUUAUACAAG
This 918-nucleotide long non-coding RNA is filed under the name Linum usitatissimum (flax). Its description in RNAcentral is "long non-coding RNA (LUSI_LNC005064)". Lineage: Eukaryota; Viridiplantae; Streptophyta; Magnoliopsida; Malpighiales; Linaceae. The record is from RNAcentral.